Molecule: ribosomal RNA, 441 nt
Filed under: uncultured bacterium
Lineage: Bacteria
Description: partial 16S ribosomal RNA
Rfam family: Bacterial small subunit ribosomal RNA
Source: RNAcentral
CCUACGGGAGGCUGCAGUGGGGGAUAUUGCACAAUGGUCGGAACACUGAUGCAGCGAAGCCGCGUGGGUGAAGGAGUUCUUCAGCAUGUUAAGCCCUUUCGGCCGGGGAGAAACGAGUCGGUACCUGCCUAAGAAGCGCCGGCUAACAACGGACCAGCCGGCGAGGUAAUACGUAGGGGGCGAGCGUUAACCGGGUUCACUGGGGGUAAAGGGAUCGUAGAGGGCCAAGGAGGGCAGGGGGGAAAGCCCAGGGCAGAACCCCGGGCCUGCCGUUGAAACUGGCUGGCUGGAGUGGGAGAGGGGUAGGCGGAAUGCCUGGUGUAGCGGUGAAAUGCGUAGAUAUCAGGAGGAACACCGGCUGCGAAGGCAGCCUGCUGGAUCGCGACUGACGCUGAGGCUCGAAAGCGUGGGUAUCGAACAGGAUUAGAUACCCGAGUAGUC